AUGUCUACGGGACGCAGCAGUGGGGAAUAUUGCACAAUGGGGGAAACCCUGAUGCAGCAACGCCGCGUGAAGGAAGACGGUUUUCGGAUUGUAAACUUCUGUUCUUAGUGAAGAAGAAUGACGGUAGCUAAGGAGCAAGCCACGGCUAACUACGUGCCAGCAGCAGCGGUAAUACGCAGGUGGCAAGCGUUGUCCGGAAUUACUGAGUGUAAAGGGAUCGCAGGCGGGAAGCCAAGUCAGCUGUGAAAACUAAGGGCAUAACUUGUAGACUGGAGUUGAAACUGGUUUUCUUGAGUGAAGUAGAG
RNAcentral lists this ribosomal RNA (305 nucleotides) under uncultured bacterium. Its description in RNAcentral is "bacterial SSU rRNA". It matches the Rfam family "Bacterial small subunit ribosomal RNA", at positions 335 to 656 of the family's 1533-position model. The record is from RNAcentral.